Molecule: ribosomal RNA, 373 nt
Filed under: uncultured organism
Description: partial 16S ribosomal RNA
Rfam family: Bacterial small subunit ribosomal RNA
Source: RNAcentral
GUAGGUGGCAAGCGUUGCCCGGAAUUAUUGGGCGUAAAGCGCGCGCAGGCGGUCCUUUAAGUCUGAUGUGAAAGCCCACGGGCUCAACCGUGGAGGGUCAUUGGGAACUGGGGGACUUGAGUACAGAAGAGGAAAGCGGAAUUCCAAGUGUAGCGGUGAAAUGCGUAGAGAUCUGGAGGAACACCAGUGGCGAAGGCGGCUUUCUGGUCUGUAACUGACGCUGAGGCGCGAAAGCGUGGGGAGCAAACAGGAUUAGAUACCCUGGUAGUCCACGCCGUAAACGAUGAGUGCUAAGUGUUAGGGGGUUUCCGCCCCUUAGUGCUGCAGCUAACGCAUUAAGCACUCCGCCUGGGGAGUACGGCCGCAAAGGCUG